UACCAGCACCCCGAGUGGUCGGGACGAUUAUUGGGCCUAAAGCAUCCGUAGCCGGUUCUACAAGUCUUCCGUUAAAUCCACCUGCUUAACAGAUGGGCCGCGGAGGAUACUAUGGAGCUAGGAGGCGGGAGAGGCAAGCGGUACUUAGUGGGUAGGGGUAAAAUCCGUUGAUCCAUUGAAGACCACCAGUGGCGAAGGCGGCUUGCCAGAACGCACUCGACGGUGAGGGAUGAAAGCUGGGGGAGCAAACCGG
RNAcentral lists this ribosomal RNA (253 nucleotides) under uncultured bacterium. Its description in RNAcentral is "partial 16S ribosomal RNA". It matches the Rfam family "Archaeal small subunit ribosomal RNA", at positions 474 to 727 of the family's 1478-position model. The record is from RNAcentral.